RNAcentral lists this ribosomal RNA (245 nucleotides) under uncultured bacterium. Its description in RNAcentral is "partial 16S ribosomal RNA". It matches the Rfam family "Bacterial small subunit ribosomal RNA", at positions 524 to 768 of the family's 1533-position model. The record is from RNAcentral.
UACGUAGGGUGCAAGCGUUGUCCGGAAUUAUUGGGCGUAAAGAGCGUGUAGGCGGCUCGAUUAGUCCGCUGUGAAAGUCCAAGGCUCAACCUUGGAAUGCCGGUGGAUACUGUCGAGCUAGAGUCCGGAAGGGGCGAGUGGAACUCCUGGUGUAGCGGUGAAAUGCGCAGAUAUCAGGAAGAACACCAAUGGCGAAGGCAGCUCGCUGGGACGUGACUGACGCUGAGACGCGAAAGCGUGGGGAG